RNAcentral lists this ribosomal RNA (493 nucleotides) under uncultured bacterium. Its description in RNAcentral is "bacterial SSU rRNA". It matches the Rfam family "Bacterial small subunit ribosomal RNA", at positions 30 to 539 of the family's 1533-position model. The record is from RNAcentral.
CGAACGCUGGCGGCGUGCUUUAUACAUGCAAGUCGAACGAUGAAGUUCCUUCGGGAAUGGAUUAGUGGCGAACGGGUGAGGAACACGUGAGAAACCUGCCUUUCAUUCUGGGAUAACACCGGGAAACCGGUGCUAAAACCGGAUACUCCGUCUUGGCGGCAUCGCCGAGCCGGGAAAAAAUUUUGAUGAAAGAUGGUCUCGCGGCCUAUCAGCUAGUUGGUGAGGUAAUGGCUCACCAAGGCAACGACGGGUAGCCGGCCUGAGAGGGCGACCGGCCACACUGGGACUGAGACACGGCCCAGACUCCUACGGGAGGCAGCAGUAGGGAAUAUUGGGCAAUGGGCGAAAGCCUGACCCAGCGACGCCGCGUGAGGGAUGAAGGUCUUCGGAUUGUAAACCUCUUUCAGUAGGGAAGAAGCGAAAGUGACGGUACCUAAAGAAGAAGCACCGGCUAACUACGUGCCAGCAGCCGCGGUAAUCUGAUGGCGCGAGG